Molecule: ribosomal RNA, 332 nt
Filed under: uncultured bacterium
Lineage: Bacteria
Description: bacterial SSU rRNA
Rfam family: Bacterial small subunit ribosomal RNA
Source: RNAcentral
GGGCCCGCACAAGCGGUGGAGCAUGUGGUUUAAUUCGAUGCAACGCGAAGAACCUUACCAGGGUUUGACAUCCUGCGAAUCUCUUGGAAACUUGAGAGUGCCUUCGGGAGCGCAGUGACAGGUGGUGCAUGGCUGUCGUCAGCUCGUGUCGUGAGAUGUUCGGUUAAGUCCGGCAACGAGCGCAACCCACAUCCCUAGUUGCCAGCAGUUCGGCUGGGCACUCUAUGGAAACUGCCCGUGAUAAGCGGGAGGAAGGUGUGGAUGACGUCAAGUCCUCAUGGCCCUUACGGGUUGGGCUACACACGUGCUACAAUGGUAGGGACAAUGAGCUG